CCAGGAGUCCAAGUCAAGUCUUCAGUCUCUGGCCAUCUGAUCUGGCCCUAACACUGUAAUGUUAAAUGUUAUGAAUUGAAAGCAUGUCCUGUAGCUACCAUCCAUACAGUGCAGUAUCAACAUCAGUUGUGGGAUAACUUUAUGAGGUCUACUUAACACAUCCCUCUAGCCCUCGGACCUGGUGAAAUAUUAACCUAAGUUUGUCACAUCAUAUGGAUCCAACUAUAAAUAUACAAUGUGCCUGU
Molecule: long non-coding RNA, 245 nt
Organism: Sander lucioperca (pikeperch)
Lineage: Eukaryota; Metazoa; Chordata; Actinopteri; Perciformes; Percidae
Exons: 4
Source: RefSeq, a predicted model, not a curated record